Molecule: ribosomal RNA, 653 nt
Filed under: Botryosphaeria dothidea
Lineage: Eukaryota; Fungi; Ascomycota; Dothideomycetes; Botryosphaeriales; Botryosphaeriaceae
Description: partial 28S ribosomal RNA
Rfam family: Eukaryotic large subunit ribosomal RNA
Source: RNAcentral
GUUGACCUCGGAUCAGGUAGGGAUACCCGCUGAACUUAAGCAUAUCAAUAAGCGGAGGAAAAGAAACCAACAGGGAUUGCCUUAGUAACGGCGAGUGAAGCGGCAACAGCUCAAAUUUGAAAGCUGGCUCCUUUGGAGUCCGCGUUGUAAUUUGUAGAGGAUGAUUCGGCAAGGGCUCCCGCCUAAGUCUCCUGGAACGGAGCGUCAUAGAGGGUGAGAAUCCCGUAUGCGGUGGGCUGCCUAAGCCAUGUGAAUCUCCUUCGACGAGUCGAGUUGUUUGGGAAUGCAGCUCUAAAUGGGAGGUAAAUUUCUUCUAAAGCUAAAUACCGGCCAGAGACCGAUAGCGCACAAGUAGAGUGAUCGAAAGAUGAAAAGCACUUUGGAAAGAGAGUUAAAAAGUACGUGAAAUUGUUGAAAGGGAAGCGCUUGCAGCCAGACUUGUCCGCAGUUGCUCAGCCGGUCUCCUGACCGGUGUACUCUUCUGCGGCCAGGCCAGCAUCAGUUCGGGCGGUCGGAUAAAGACCUCGGGAAUGUAGCUCCUCUCGGGGAGUGUUAUAGCCCGGGGUGGAAUGCGGCCAGCCUGGACUGAGGAUCUCGCUUCGGCUAGGAUGCUGGCGUAAUGGCUGUAAGCGGCCCGUCUUGAAACACGGACC